UUUUCUAUAUUUCUUGUCAUCAGACAACUUAACCGAGGCCCUGCUCUUCGUGUCCCAUUUCAUGGGUGAUAUUCAUCAGGUAUAAUUACAAGUUUGAUCAAGAUGACCGGUUUCUUAGCCAGAUAUGUCUAAUACCAUAGUUGUAAAAUGCAGCCUCUACAUGUGGGUUUUGCUUCAGACAAAGGAGGGAACACCAUCGAAGUGCACUGGUACAGGAGAAAAGCUAACCUCCACCAUGUAAGAACUGUCAAACGUAUAUAAUUUGCGCAUUAGAUAUUACAAGCCUCAAAAAUUAAGUUUAAUGCAGAUAUGGGAUUCCAACAUUAUCGAAACAGCUGAAGCAGAUCUCUAUAACUCCGAACUAGAAGGAAUAGUGGAUGCAAUCAAUAAGAACAUAACGGUACUCUUGAAUCGAAAAGACUGUUCUCUACCUGUUUACUACAAGGUGUUUUUGACUUGCUGACAUAUUUUAAUAAAUUGCAGACAGAAUGGGCAGAUCAAGUCAAGAGAUGGGAGAGUUGCACAAAGAAGACAGCAUGCCCAGAUAUGUAAGUCAGAUACAAAAUUACAGUACCUUUGAGUAGAAGUGAUUGUUCUUCAUGCCGGCACGAACCAGAUUUAACUUCCAAUGCUUUCCCCUGUAAACUAUACAGAUACGCAUCCGAAGGAAUUCAAGCAGCCUGUGAC
RNAcentral lists this long non-coding RNA (687 nucleotides) under Capsella rubella. Its description in RNAcentral is "long non-coding RNA (CRUB_LNC004361)". The record is from RNAcentral. Lineage: Eukaryota; Viridiplantae; Streptophyta; Magnoliopsida; Brassicales; Brassicaceae.